Molecule: ribosomal RNA, 491 nt
Filed under: uncultured bacterium
Lineage: Bacteria
Description: partial 16S ribosomal RNA
Rfam family: Bacterial small subunit ribosomal RNA
Source: RNAcentral
GAUGAACGCUAGCGAUAGGCUUAACACAUGCAAGUCGAGGGGUAACGUGUUGGAAGCUUGCUUCCGAUGACGACGACCGGCGGAUGGGUGCGUAACGCGUAUGCAACUUGCCUCACAGUGGAGAAUAACCCGGAGAAAUCCGGACUAAUACUCCAUACACUCUUAAGUACGCCUGUACAUGAGAGGAAAGAUUUAUCGCUGUGAGAUAGGUAUGCGUCCUAUUAGGUAGUUGGUGAGGUAACGGCUCACCAAGCCGACGAUAGGUAGGGGUGCUGAGAGGCAGAUCCCCCACAUUGGGACUGAGACACGGCCCAAACUCCUACGGGAGGCAGCAGUGAGGAAUAUUGGUCAAUGGAGGAAACUCUGAACCAGCCAAGUCGCGUGAAAGAAGAAUGGCCUAAGGAUUGUAAACUUCUUUAGCGAGCGAGUAAGGACUUCCACGUGAUGGGAGUUUGAAAGUAGCUCGGAAAUAAGUAUCGGCUAACUCCGUG